This 253-nucleotide ribosomal RNA is filed under the name uncultured bacterium. RNAcentral describes it as "partial 16S ribosomal RNA". It matches the Rfam family "Bacterial small subunit ribosomal RNA", at positions 524 to 776 of the family's 1533-position model. The record is from RNAcentral.
UACAGAGGUGGCAAGCGUUGUUCGGAAUUACUGGGCGUAAAGGGCGCGUAGGCGGCCAUCUAAGUCAGACGUGAAAUCCCCAGGCUUAACCUGGGAACUGCGUCCGAUACUGGCAGGCUUGAAUCCGGGAGAGGGAUGUGGAAUUCCAGGUGUAGCGGUGAAAUGCGUAGAUAUCUGGAGGAACACCGGUGGCGAAGGCGGCAUCCUGGACCGGCAUUGACGCUGAGGCGCGAAAGCUAGGGGAGCAAACGGG